CCUUCGCUACUCAGGGGAGUAGGCGGCAGGGUUGAUGGAGAAGACGGUACAAUCCCAGAGGUGACCAAAUCUAUUAGAGAAUUGCUCCAAGUUAGGGUGAAAACUUCCUGCAUUCCAGAAGUUCGAUAGCAUUGAGAAAGUGAAUCAUAGUAGCUAACUCAACGCAAAGAGUGCAAACACUUAAAGUGCUUCAGAAGUGUGAACAAAGAGUAGGCGAAAGCUAGUAACCAGCUCGAUGCAUGGAGUACAACCUCGAGGAGGCGGGCGAAGUCAAGUAACCUUUGCCUUUUCAACCCUUAAGAGAAUGGGCGAAACCGAGUACCCCAAUUCUCUUAUCUAUCCAGCAGAGGAGCUCUGCAUAAGUUCAAAACCCUUCGAAGAUAAUUGAGGACAAUAGUUGUCAAAUCCUCACCAAUGGUGAUUAGUGUUACUGAGAGUAAAUUGUCCGCUUCAUUUCCCAAUGAAAUGCCAAUCGAAAGUGGAAGUGAUACAAACCUACUUGGAUGUGACAACUAAGUGAAAGAAGAGUCAAUGAGCAAAUUUUGUGGAGGAAGGACCCAAAUCUUCAGAAGUUUGUGAGACGAUGCUCGUUAAAAGCUCCAACAAGCAUCCACCCAGUUCAAACAACAUGAGGCAUUUGAGAGACUGGCCCAGUAAGGAUGGUCUUUUCCUUCAUCUGGAGGAUCCGCAGGAACCAACAGGGAUCAACACAACUCAGUCAACCCCACACUAGAGUCAGAGUCAUUGGCGAGUUGAAGCAGUAGGGCGGAUCAAAGGUUUGACUACUCAAAAACAACAGCGGAGAGUAGCUGGGAGCCAAGAGAUGCAUUGUAGCUGGAGUAGAAGAUUGAAGACUCAGCAAAGGCGAAGUUGCAAUGUCGGCAAAGGCUUCAACGAGGACGUCGAAGGAAGAAGUGGGGGAGAAUGUCACGGACAAACUUCUAAACAGGAUGUUUGAUGUAAUACUUAUGUAUGUCCGUGUCUUUUGGUGUGUUCAUGCUUUGUACAUCAUGUAGAGGGACGACCGAAGGCUUAAUAGUCCCAUUUUAGUUGGGUUGGUGGUCGCUUUAGGCUUGUAAAUAAAGGUUGUGUCAUGUGGACACGUGCGAGAGAUUCUCGGUCUAUAAUGGACCAUUUUACCCUUUGUUGUGCAACUGUUCAGAGCUUGUAAAGUCUGUUUGUAAUUUGCAUUGUCUAUAAAGUGUUUUUCGGAGAUGUUUGCUUGUGGAUCCCGAGUGAGGCAUUUUCUCUGUCCUAUUCUUUCUUUUGUGGGACCUAAGGGACCAUGGGAGGUUUCGGGGAGGCUGACCUUUACGGACGGACACGCAAGGGUGCCGCACGACUUAGGCAAAACCAGCUAAGUCCGUGACAAAGUGGUGCCAUAUUUGGUAAGCAGAACUAGCGAUGAGGGAUGAACAAGAAGCUAGGUUACGGUGCCCAACUGCAUGCUAACCCAGACACCACAAAGGGUGUUGGUUGAUCGUACUUAUAACCGCAUCAAGUCUCCAAGGUGAAUAGCCUCUAGCCCAUGGAAUAAUGUAGGCAAUGGAAGUUAGCAAAACAGAUCUGUAACUUCGGAAAAAGGAUUGGCUUUGAGGGAUAGGCAAGGGGGUUCUGACCCCGAACUCAUCGACUGUCGGAGGAUUGCUCGAGCAUCUCUCAUGGUGAGAGUGGGUUGCCAUGUGCCAAUUGGGGGACAAACCGGGAACAGCCCCCUUAGGAGUCUUCCCCGGGCAUCGAACAGUCUACUCAGAACUGGUACGGACAAGGGGAAUCCAACUAUUUAAUUAAAACAAAGCAUUGCGAUGGUCCCCAUAAAUGCUCAUGUAAUGUGAUUUCUAUAUAGUGCUCUGAAUGUCAAAGUGAAGAAAUUCAACCAAGCACGGGUAAACGACGAGAGUAACUAUGACUCUCUUAAGAUAGCUAAAUACCUCGUCAUCUAAUUAGUGAUGUGUAUGAAUGGAUUAACGAGAUUCCCAUUGUCCCUAUCUAUUAUCCAGCGAAACCAUAGCCAAGGGAACCGGCUUGGCAGAAUCAGCGGGGAAAGAAGACCUUGUUGAGCUUAACUCUAGUCCAACUUUAUGAAAUGACUUGAGAGGUGUGGGAUAAGUGGGAGCCGGUUCACCGACGGAAGUGAAAUACCACUGCUUUUAAUAUUAUUUUACUUAUUCUAUGAGUCGGAGGUGGGGUCGGCCCCCUCCUUUUUGACAUAAGGCCUGCCUAGCAGGCCGAUCCGGGCGGAAGACAUUGUUAGGUGGGGAGUUUGGCUAAGGCAAGUGUCCUAAGAUGAGCUCAACGAGAACAGAAAUCUCAUGUGGAACAAAAGGGUAAAAGCUCGUUUAAUUUUGAUUUCCAAUACAAAUACGAAUUGUGAAAUCAUGGCCUAUCGAUCCUUUAGACCUUUGGAAUUUGAAGCUAGAGGUGUCCGAAAAUUUACCAAAGGGAUAACUGGCUUGUGAUAGCCAAACGUUCAUAACGAUGUUGCUUUUUUAUACUUCGAUGUCGGCUCUUCCUGUCAUUGUGAAGCAGAAUUCACCAAGUGUUGGAUUGUUCACCCACCAAUAGGAAACAUGAGCUGAGUUUAGACCAUUGUGAGAUAGGUUAGUUUUACCCUACUAAUGAUCGUGUCACGAUAGCAAUUCAACCUACUAUGAGAGGAACCAUUGAUUCACACAAGAACCGUUGAUUCACAUAAUUGGUUAUCGUAAUUGGUUUAAAAGCUAGUGGCGCGAAGCUACUGUGUUAGAUUAUGACUGAACGCCUCUAAGUCAGAAUCCUAGCUAGCAAUCGGUGCUCUUGCCUAUCGUUAGUCUCUCGACCCAUAGUAGGGGCCUCUGGCCCCCAUGGGCUCAUGUCAUCGGUAUAGCCCCUGUGGUGGUAUGGCCACGGGUGGCCAUCGGGAAGUGAAAUUCUA
Molecule: ribosomal RNA, 2914 nt
Filed under: Musa schizocarpa
Lineage: Eukaryota; Viridiplantae; Streptophyta; Magnoliopsida; Zingiberales; Musaceae
Description: eukaryotic LSU rRNA
Rfam family: Eukaryotic large subunit ribosomal RNA (bases 1529-2914)
Source: RNAcentral